GGAGAAACUCUUCUCUCUCCCCGCACAGCCGCUCUGGAACGGCAAACUGCUGAAGGUAAGAGACCGGAGGAGUGGAGAAACUCUUCUCUCUCCCCGCACAGCCGCUCUGGAACGGCAAACUGCUGAAGGUAAGAGACAGGAGGAGAUCAACGCACAGCCGCUCUGGAACAGCAAACUGCUGAAGGUAAGAGACAGGAGGAGAUCAACGCACAGCAAACUGCUGAAGGUAAGAGACAGGAGGAGAUCAACUCACAGCAAACUGCUGAAGGUAAGAGACAGGAGGAGAUCAACGCACAGCAAACUGCUGAAGGUAAGAGACAGGAGGAGAUCAACACACAGCAAACUGUUGAAGGUAAGAGACAGGAGGAGAUCAACUCACAGCAAACUGUUGAAGGUAAGAGACAGGAGGAG
Oncorhynchus keta (chum salmon) is the source of this 411-nucleotide long non-coding RNA. RefSeq lists it as uncharacterized. The transcript is spliced from 4 exons. Lineage: Eukaryota; Metazoa; Chordata; Actinopteri; Salmoniformes; Salmonidae. The record is from RefSeq and is a predicted model, not a curated record.